This 468-nucleotide ribosomal RNA is filed under the name uncultured bacterium. Its description in RNAcentral is "partial 16S ribosomal RNA". It matches the Rfam family "Bacterial small subunit ribosomal RNA", at positions 28 to 507 of the family's 1533-position model. The record is from RNAcentral.
GAUGAACGCUGGCGGCGUGCUUAACACAUGCAAGUCGAACGGAAAGGCCGAAGCUUGCUUCGGUCCUCGAGUGGCGAACGGGUGAGUAACACGUGGGUGAUCUGCCCUGUACUUCGGGAUAAGCUUGGGAAACUGGGUCUAAUACCGGAUAUGACGAUCUCUUGGAUGGGGUUGUGGAAAGCUUUUGCGGUAUGGGAUGAGCUCGCGGCCUAUCAGCUUGUUGGUGGGGUAAUGGCCUACCAAGGCGUCGACGGGUAGCCGGCCUGAGAGGGUGUACGGCCACAUUGGGACUGAGAUACGGCCCAGACUCCUACGGGAGGCAGCAGUGGGGAAUAUUGCACAAUGGGCGCAAGCCUGAUGCAGCGACGCCGCGUGGGGGAUGACGGCCCUCGGGUUGUAAACUCCUUUCGCAAUCGACGAAGCCUUUUGGUGACGGUAGGUUGAGAAGAAGCACCGGCUAACUACGUG